AGAGGAAUAGCUGGGUCAAAUGAUGAUUACAUUCCCAGAUUUCCAAGGAAUCUCCAUACUGCUUUCCAAAUUAGUUGCACCAAUUUGCAGUCCUACCAGCAAU
RNAcentral lists this microRNA precursor (103 nucleotides) under Marmota monax (woodchuck). Lineage: Eukaryota; Metazoa; Chordata; Mammalia; Rodentia; Sciuridae. The record is from RNAcentral.